Molecule: long non-coding RNA, 318 nt
Organism: Diceros bicornis minor
Lineage: Eukaryota; Metazoa; Chordata; Mammalia; Perissodactyla; Rhinocerotidae
Exons: 3
Source: RefSeq, a predicted model, not a curated record
UGGCAACUGCCACAGCCCAUGCUGAGUGCUCUCUGUGCUGGGUGGGCACACUGCAGACGUAUCCAGGAACAAGCCUCUGAAGGCCUGGUAAUGGAAUUGCAAAAAUCUGAAUGAAUUGUCUGAUGCAUCAUGACUAAGCUUGCAAUGUGCCAAGUGUCCCCCAGGAGAGACCCUUGGACAGCAGGCCUGGAGUGCAGGACUGCACGUUGGAGACUGUUCCCAGGGAGAGCCACGGAUAAAAAGACUGAAGAAGAGGGAUUUCUGCCAGAAGACUGCCUUCAGACUCAUACUGCAACAUCAGCUCUUUUCUGAGCCUCC